CAUAGCUCAGUUUGGUAGAGCACCUGCCUUUUAAGCAGAGGGUCGUAGGUUCGAGUCCUACUG
RNAcentral lists this transfer RNA (63 nucleotides) under marine eukaryotic metagenome. It matches the Rfam family "tRNA", at positions 6 to 65 of the family's 71-position model. From Rfam's summary of the family: Transfer RNA (tRNA) molecules are approximately 80 nucleotides in length. Their secondary structure includes four short double-helical elements and three loops (D, anti-codon, and T loops). The record is from RNAcentral.